Molecule: unclassified non-coding RNA, 1382 nt
Filed under: Bartonella henselae
Lineage: Bacteria; Pseudomonadati; Pseudomonadota; Alphaproteobacteria; Hyphomicrobiales; Bartonellaceae
Description: partial contains 16S ribosomal RNA, 16S-23S intergenic spacer and 23S ribosomal RNA
Rfam family: tRNA (bases 454-527)
Source: RNAcentral
GCAGGCAACCACGGUAGGGUCAGCGACUGGGGUGAAGUCGUAACAAGGUAGCCGUAGGGGAACCUGUGGCUGGAUCACCUCCUUUCUAAGGAUGAUCAAGAAUUGGAACUCCCUCCUUACGGAGAGUGUUUUCCUUUUUGAUCUCAUUAGACAUAAAGGUUUAAAGCAAUUUAAACCUUGUGCAUAUGACACUCACUUUAAAAGAUAGUUCUCAUUUUAAAAGAGGCCCCUACCUCUGAAAGAGUGAAGGCGCCCUUUAAGGUGCAGUGCUCAUGUGUUUAAGAUACAUAAACAGGCUAGCCGUCUUCGUUUCUCUUUCUUCAGAUGAUGAUCCCAAGCCUUCUGGCGAUCUAGACAAAACAAGUCACCGUGGGCUUUGAAAAACGCUUUCCUUGAUAAAAUUUAAGCGUUUUAUAAGAGGAUGCCGGGGAAGGUUUUCCGGUUUAUCCCGGAGGGCUUGUAGCUCAGUUGGUUAGAGCGCGCGCUUGAUAAGCGUGAGGUCGGAGGUUCAAGUCCUCCCAGGCCCACCAGUUUAUCCAUUACUUUCAUAAGUGCUUUUAAAAAAUAAGUACUUCUAAAAAGAUUGCUUCUAAAAAGAUUGCUUCUAAAAAGAUUGCUUCUAAAAAGCUUAUCAAAAUUGGCAGGCUUAUUGCUUUUGUGUGAGUAAUCCAAAGUUAAAGCAAAUUAAUGGCAAAAAAACAGUUCAAAUGCUAAAUACUAAGGAGUCAAAAUUCCUUGCAAAGUGAUUUUUACAGCGUCCAUUUGGUUGAUAUAAAUUCCAAAUGCUCAUAGACGUCAAUGCCUAUAUGAAACUAUCGGUUCAAUCAUAUCGCUUUGAGUUAUAUAGAUUUUGUAAUCCCUCUUUUGAUCGUUUUAAACGCUUUAUCCUGAUUUAGGGGCCGUAGCUCAGCUGGGAGAGCACCUGCUUUGCAAGCAGGGGGUCGUCGGUUCGAUCCCGUCCGGCUCCACCAUAAGGUCAUCAUCAUUGUUGUAAGAACAGUUUUGUAAAAGGUUUGCGGACCUUUUGCUUGUUCUAUUGAAAUUGUGAAGAGAAGAUAUAUUCAGACAUGUUCCUUUUGAAAGGUUUGUUCUGGAAGGUGAGGUUUUUCUGUGCAGAAAUGUUUCAGAAAAAGCUUUGUCAUCAGAAAGGGCUAUUGUCUAACAGCUUAGAUAAAAAACAAAUCUGAAAAAGAAAUCUUGUGUCGCAAGGGAAAGCUCAAAGCCCUUGCUUAUGAUUGGAAGCUUAACCGCGCCAUUGAAUAUAUCUCGAGAAGCUGGUCUUUUCUGCUGAUAUUUAUGUUUGUUUUGCACUUUGUUUUGCACAAGGCAGAGAACGCGACAGACAGUGAAUGAAUAUUGGCAAUGAGAACGAUCAAGUGUCU